CAGCAGCCACGGGAAUACGGAGGAUCCAAGCGUUAUCCGGAAUCAUUGGGUUUAAAGGGUCCGUAGGCGGUCUUGUAAGUCAGUGGUGAAAGCCCAUCGCUCAACGGUGGAACGGCCAUUGAUACUGCAGGACUUGAAUUAUUGGGAAGUAACUAGAAUAUGUAGUGUAGCGGUGAAAUGCUUAGAGAUUACAUGGAAUACCAAUUGCGAAGGCAGGUUACUACCAAUUGAUUGACGCUGAUGGACGAAAGCGUGGGUAGCGAACAGGAUUAGAUACCCCCGUAGUCCCUGUCUCUUAUAU
RNAcentral lists this ribosomal RNA (301 nucleotides) under uncultured bacterium. RNAcentral's name for it is "partial 16S ribosomal RNA". It matches the Rfam family "Bacterial small subunit ribosomal RNA", at positions 509 to 809 of the family's 1533-position model. The record is from RNAcentral.